RNAcentral lists this long non-coding RNA (352 nucleotides) under Cyanistes caeruleus (blue tit). RNAcentral's name for it is "lncRNA (ENSCCEG00000019337.1)". The record is from RNAcentral. Lineage: Eukaryota; Metazoa; Chordata; Aves; Passeriformes; Paridae.
CUGAAAAAUCAGAAAUAAUGGAUAAAUUAUCCGUUGUUCUGGUUACCAACAGAGGCCUUUGUGACACAAAUGUCAUAUGCUUUGUGUGCUGCAGGAAUACUGAGACUGUUGCUGCAUGCUGGGAAGUGCACACAGUCUGGAUCUCAAGAAAAGAGCAGAAAAAAACCUGUUUCUUCCCCACGAGCAGAGCCAGAAAAGGUGACCUUUCUGUCAUUCUUAGAAUAUAUAACAUUAAUUUUAACAUCACCAUGCCUCAUCCUGACAACAAGUUUAGAAGAUUAAAGAAGUACUUCACAGAAUGUAUCACUAAUUUUCUUUUUUUCAUUAAAUAAGCAUGAAUAAUAGAAUUUGC